RNAcentral lists this ribosomal RNA (484 nucleotides) under uncultured bacterium. RNAcentral describes it as "partial 16S ribosomal RNA". It matches the Rfam family "Bacterial small subunit ribosomal RNA", at positions 29 to 507 of the family's 1533-position model. The record is from RNAcentral.
AUUGAACGCUGGCGGCAUGCUUUACACAUGCAAGUCGAACGGCAGCGCGGGCUUCGGCUUGGCUGCGAGUGGCGAACGGGUGAGUAAUGCAUCGGAACGUGCCCAGCAGUGGGGGAUAGCCCGGCGAAAGCCGGAUUAAUACCGCAUACGACCUGAGGGUGAAAGCGGGGGACCGAAAGGCCUCGCGCUAUUGGAGCGGCCGAUGUCGGAUUAGCUAGUUGGUGGGGUAAAGGCUUACCAAGGCGACGAUCCGUAGCUGGUCUGAGAGGACGACCAGCCACACUGGAACUGAGACACGGCCCAGACUCCUACGGGAGGCAGCAGUGGGGAAUUUUGGACAAUGGGGGCAACCCUGAUCCAGCCAUGCCGCGUGCGGGAAGAAGGCCUUCGGGUUGUAAACCGCUUUUGUUCGGGAAGAAAUCCUCUGGGCUAAUACCCCGGGGGGAUGACGGUACCGGAAGAAUAAGCACCGGCUAACUACGUG